RNAcentral lists this unclassified non-coding RNA (339 nucleotides) under soil metagenome. Its description in RNAcentral is "partial contains 5.8S ribosomal RNA, internal transcribed spacer 2, and large subunit ribosomal RNA". The stretch from base 1 to 120 matches the Rfam family "5.8S ribosomal RNA", at positions 35 to 154 of the family's 154-position model. The record is from RNAcentral.
GAUGAAGAAUGCAGCGAAAUGCGAUACGUGGUGUGAAUUGCAGAAUUCAGUGAAUCAUCGAAUCUUUGAACGCACAUUGCACCUCUCGGUAUUCCGGGAGGUAUGCCUGUUCGAGCGUCAUUUGUACCCUCAAGCUCUGCUUGGUGUUGGGUGUUUGUUCCGCCUCUGUGUGUGAACUCGCCUCAAAACAAUUGGCAGCCGGCGUACUUGUUUCGGAGCGCAGCACAUUUUGCGAUCCAGAUCAACGUACAGCGGCAUCCAAGAAGCCUUAUUUAACGCUCUUGACCUCGGAUCAGGUAGGGAUACCCGCUGAACUUAAGCAUAUCAAUAAGCGGAGGA